This 1355-nucleotide long non-coding RNA is filed under the name Rhinopithecus bieti (black snub-nosed monkey). RNAcentral's name for it is "lncRNA (ENSRBIG00000045917.1)". Lineage: Eukaryota; Metazoa; Chordata; Mammalia; Primates; Cercopithecidae. The record is from RNAcentral.
ACUGCCUUCAACGCUUCUCAGGAACUGGUUGCUCAACGUGAUCUGGCAGGUCCCAGGCGGCUGGGCAGGCCUGGUGCCAGCUCAGAGGUGGCGGGUGGAGGACACACCCCAGGGGGAGGCCCGGUGACCUUGAGGGAAGUUGGGCCCUGUCCUUGACCACUUAUCAGGGCCUGUCCCCCAUUCACCUGACCCAACUUGCUGGGGGGUGUGAGGUGGGGUGAUUUACUGAGUUCUAACCAGGCAAGAACCUGCCUGUCCUGCACCCUGGCCUGUCCUCUGGAGGUUAUCUGAUGAGGGCCUAUUCUAAGGCAGGGAGCCUAGGCCCCAGCUUCAGCGUCAAGCCACCCAGGACAUGCAUCCAGCCUGUUGGAGAAUGGCCUGGAGAAUGCAGAGAAGCUGCAGUGGGUGGGCACCUACACCUGUCUGGGACUGGGUUGAAGUCUGGCCACAUCUCAAGGGAAUGGCCAUGAGUGUUCCCAUCACGGGAUCCCAAGGGCAGCAUCGUCAGAGCAGUGGACUGGAAGCCUGGCUGAGGGUGCUGAAUGAGCAGGUCACUCUUUGGCCCUCACUGAGCACAGCGCCAAGCUUGCUACCCACCCACCCCAAUGUCACAGAGAAGCGAGAAGUACCUGUGGGCACACUGGAGCAUAGGCCUUGACGUCUGCAGUGCUCCGGGCAAAAGGACAAAUGGAGGCCCACACACCAGAAUCUAAAUAUUAAACAACCAUAAAUCAAGCUGCUAAUAAAAUGUGUUCCAUCCUCCUACUGAACAAAUAAGCUUUCAUAGCAGUAAAAACAUCUGUAAAUCUAUGGUUUUUAUGUCUGAAAGUCCGCAGAUAUCCAAAAUGAUGGAACUUAAUAAUUAUCACUCAUGUCCAGGUGUUCAGUGACCUGAGGUUUAAGUGAGAGAACGAAGACUUGCCUGAUGCCUAAGACAUUCUGUAUUUAUUCUGUAACAUUGAUUCUCCUCGUCUUUAUUCUAGUAAAACGAUUGAUUAUGUUGUUACAGUCAAGACUUCUACACUAUUACUGUUCUUUUCGUGGUAAUGAUUCAAAAGAUUAGAAUAAGGCUGGACAUGGUGGCUCACACAUGUAAUCCCAGCGCUUUGAGAAACCAAAGUGACAGGAUUGCUUGAGGCCAGCAGUUCAAGUUUAUAGUGAGCUAUGACUAUACUACUGCACUCCAGACCAGGCAACAGCACAAGACCCUGUCUCCAAAAAAAAAAAAAUUUUUUUAGAAAGACUAAAAUAAAAUAUUGGCCAGAUGUAGUGGCUCACACCUGUAAUCCCAGCACUUUGGGAUUCCAAGGCGGGUGGAUCACCUGAGGUCAGGAGUUCAAGACCAGCCUGGCCAA